UUUAACGCAUAACUCCGAGCUUGUUUAGCCUAAGUUUCAGAAGAAAUACGGUGGCAAGCCAAUAACGCCGUGUGUUAUUCAGGGAUACGCUGGAAACGGUUUAUCCUCUCCAUAUUUAGAAAGGUGUAAAAUGCAAUCCAUU
The submitters of this non-coding RNA (142 nucleotides) gave its source as unclassified sequences. The record is from Rfam.